AAAGGGGCUUCGGCUCUGAGUAGAGUGGCGAACGGGUGAGUAACACGUGGGUGACCUACCUUCGAAUGGGGGAUAACGUCCCGAAAGGGACGCUAAUACCGCAUAACAUCCUGUCUUUGAACAGAUGGAGAUCAAAGCUGGGGAUCGUAAGACCUGGCGUUUGAAGAGGGGCCCGCGUCCGAUUAGCUAGUUGGUGAGGUAACGGCUCACCAAGGCAACGAUCGGUAGCCGGCCUGAGAGGGCGGACGGCCACACUGGGACUGAGACACGGCCCAGACUCCUACGGGAGGCAGCAGUGGGGAAUUGUUCGCAAUGGGCGCAAGCCUGACGACGCAACGCCGCGUGGAGGAUGAAGGUCUUCGGAUUGUAAACUCCUGUUGCCCGGGACGAAACGCCUCGACCUAACACGUCGAGGUUUGACGGUACCGGGUGAGGAAGCCCCGGCUAACUCUGUGCCAGCAGCCGCGGUAAUACAGAGGGGGCAAGCGUUGUUCGGAAUUACUGGGCGUAAAGGGCGCGUAGGCGGCCUUCUAAGUCGAACGUGAAAUCCCCGGGCUCAACCCGGGAACUGCGUCCGAUACUGGAAGGCUUGAAUCCGGGAGAGGGAUGCGGAAUUCCAGGUGUAGCGGUGAAAUGCGUAGAUAUCUGGAGGAACACCGGUGGCGAAGGCGGCAUCCUGGACCGGCAUUGACGCUGAGGCGCGAAAGCCAGGGGAGCAAACGGGAUUAGAUACCCCGGUAGUCCUGGCCCUAAACGAUGAAUGCUUGGUGUGGCGGGUAUCGAUCCCUGCCGUGCCGAAGCUAACGCAUUAAGCA
This 815-nucleotide ribosomal RNA is filed under the name uncultured Acidobacteriota bacterium. Its description in RNAcentral is "bacterial SSU rRNA". It matches the Rfam family "Bacterial small subunit ribosomal RNA", at positions 71 to 866 of the family's 1533-position model. Lineage: Bacteria; Pseudomonadati; Acidobacteriota. The record is from RNAcentral.